UACGUAGGGGGCAAGCGUUGUCCGGAAUUAUUGGGCGUAAAGAGCGCGUAGGCGGUCCGGUAAGUCGGUUGUGAAAGUCGGGGGCUCAACCCUCGGAUGCCGAUCGAUACUGUCAGGCUAGAGUCCGGAAGAGGCGAGUGGAAUUCCUGGUGUAGCGGUGAAAUGCGCAGAUAUCAGGAGGAACACCAAUGGCGAAGGCAGCUCGCUGGGACGGUACUGACGCUGAGGCGCGAAAGCGUGGGGAGCAAACAGG
RNAcentral lists this ribosomal RNA (253 nucleotides) under uncultured bacterium. Its description in RNAcentral is "partial 16S ribosomal RNA". It matches the Rfam family "Bacterial small subunit ribosomal RNA", at positions 524 to 776 of the family's 1533-position model. The record is from RNAcentral.